AAUAUUAGCUUAGCAUACCAAAAAAAAAAUCAAAAGAGUUCUAAGAGAGAGAGAGAACGAAAGAGUCUGAACCCUAAAAUAGCGAUUCCAGCCACUGCCAUUCAUCUCCUCACCGCCGUUGCCGCCAUGUCUCCUCCAUCAAAGCGUCGCCGGUGGAGUUAUGAGGACGAGGUGAUCGUGGAGCUUCUCAAUUCGUGGAGCUCUCGCUUCUCGGGAUAGUAAUGCUUUAGAUCUUCCGCUUCUGCGUCGUCUUCCACGGCGGAUGCUGCCGCUGGUUCUGCUUUUGCUCCAGCGGCUUGAAGCACUCAUAGCAGUUUGGGCGCAGACUUGGUGGCACUUGCUGAGUAGAUCUGUAAGGCAAGCGAGUGAAAGACUUUGGAAGCUUCGAUUGAAGCUGCGAUAGUGCGAUCAAAGCUAUCAAAUCUUAUGGAACUAAUUCUCAUGUUGUUCGAGUCAUUGAGGGCCUGCUAUGGUGUUUUGAGGUUUGUUAUGGAAAAUGGCGCCAAGGGAUGCGAGAUUUGUUCUUGACAGCAUCUGAUUUCAGGUUUCUUUGUUGCUAUGCUUAGGUUGCGAUAACAUUUUGAUUCUGUGCAGGUCAUCGUUAGUGGUAAGUUGAGGGCUCAGCGUGCUAAAUCCAUGAAGUUCAAGGAUGGGUACAUGAUUUCCUCAGGGCAACCAGUCAAGAACUACAUUGAUUCUGUUGUAAGACAUGUACUCCUUAGGCAGGUUAGUAUAUACUCUUUUAGACAAGUCUUCCUUUGAUUGCAUUGAUAGUGUAUGCAUCUUGUUUUUGUUAUGAAGGGAUUUGGAUAAGAAAUGUUGCAGAUGAGUAGCUUCACAAAGCUUUCAUGAAGUAUAGCUUGGUGGCGAGGAUGUUUACGACAAAAAGGUUCAUUAUAUAGAGGGUAUUCUUCCAGAUGGCACAGCAAUAGCAGUUAAACAGCUUUCUUCUAGAUCGAAGCAGGGGAAUCGUGAGUUCACAAAUGAGAUUGGCAUGAUUUCUGCUUUGCAACACGCGUGUCUAGUUAAGCUCUAUGGCUGUUAUAUGGAGGGAGAUCAAAUGUUGUUGAUAUAUGAUUAUAUAGAAAACAACAGCCUUGCCAGUGCUCUGUGGGGCAAAGAGAAAACUCAAUUGAAAUUGGACUGGUCAACAAGGCGCAAGAUUUGUAUAGGCGUUGCUAAAGGCUUGGCUUACCUCCAUGGAGAGUCAAGAUUAAAAAUAGUUGGUUAGUACCACCAUUGACAAUACAUUUGAUUUUUUUAGAGCAAUUAGUAAUUGACUCUCUAAUUGAUGUCACUACACUAGAAGGAUAACUUAAUAUUAGUGAUAUUUAAGCAUAGUAAGAAGUGUAUUAUUUUAGUAUUACUAGUUUAUACCUUUUGAAAGUUUUUUUUCUGUAUCUUUCAUGAGAAUUGUGAUUCAUUUACGGGUAGCAGGCUGUUAAUCUGUUUUUGA
RNA transcript from Arachis stenosperma, 1456 nucleotides. It is a transcript of the gene named probable LRR receptor-like serine/threonine-protein kinase At1g53420, with no coding region annotated. The transcript is spliced from 5 exons. NCBI's taxonomy places the organism in Eukaryota, Viridiplantae, Streptophyta, Magnoliopsida, Fabales, Fabaceae. The record is from RefSeq and is a predicted model, not a curated record.